This 370-nucleotide ribosomal RNA is filed under the name uncultured organism. Its description in RNAcentral is "partial 16S ribosomal RNA". It matches the Rfam family "Bacterial small subunit ribosomal RNA", at positions 527 to 896 of the family's 1533-position model. The record is from RNAcentral.
GUAGGGUCCAAGCGUUAAUCGGAAUUACUGGGCGUAAAGCGUGCGCAGGCGGUUGUGCAAGACCGAUGUGAAAUCCCCGGGCUUAACCUGGGAAUUGCAUUGGUGACUGCACGGCUAGAGUGUGUCAGAGGGGGGUAGAAUUCCACGUGUAGCAGUGAAAUGCGUAGAGAUGUGGAGGAAUACCGAUGGCGAAGGCAGCCCCCUGGGAUAACACUGACGCUCAUGCACGAAAGCGUGGGGGGAGCAAACAGGAUUAGAUACCCUGGUAGUCCACGCCCUAAACGAUGUCAACUAGUUGUUGGGGAUUCAUUUCCUUAGUAACGUAGCUAACGCGUGAAGUUGACCGCCUGGGGAUACGGUCGCAAGAUUA